This 262-nucleotide long non-coding RNA is filed under the name Brassica napus (rape). RNAcentral describes it as "long non-coding RNA (BNAP_LNC021705)". Lineage: Eukaryota; Viridiplantae; Streptophyta; Magnoliopsida; Brassicales; Brassicaceae. The record is from RNAcentral.
AGAGCCUUCGAGUGUUAUUGUGUCAUUAAGCAGAUUUAAGAUCAAUAUUUGUGAAAGUAAUCAUUGAUUGAUUGAUGAAUGAUGGCUGAUGUGGAAAACAUUUGAAACUUAGAAAAUAAAUACCAAAACUAAUACCGUAUAAUUCUAUAAACUUACAAAACGUACAAAUUAACAACUAAAAAUGAUUCUCAAGAACUUAACAAAUCAAGCCUAUAGCGAUUUGAUUGGUUUAGCCAGAGAGAAACCGAAAGAAAGUCACCGG